This 496-nucleotide ribosomal RNA is filed under the name uncultured bacterium. RNAcentral's name for it is "partial 16S ribosomal RNA". It matches the Rfam family "Bacterial small subunit ribosomal RNA", at positions 28 to 506 of the family's 1533-position model. The record is from RNAcentral.
GAUGAACGCUGGCGGCGUGCCUAAUACAUGCAAGUCGAGCGAACAGAUGAGGAGCUUGCUCCUCUGACGUUAGCGGCGGACGGGUGAGUAACACGUGGAUAACCUACCUAUAAGACUGGGAUAACUUCGGGAAACCGGAGCUAAUACCGGAUAAUAUAUUGAACCGCAUGGUUCAAUAGUGAAAGACGGUUUUGCUGUCACUUAUAGAUGGAUCCGCGCCGCAUUAGCUAGUUGGUAAGGUAACGGCUUACCAAGGCAACGAUGCGUAGCCGACCUGAGAGGGUGAUCGGCCACACUGGAACUGAGACACGGUCCAGACUCCUACGGGAGGCAGCAGUAGGGAAUCUUCCGCAGUGGGCGAAAGCCUGACGGAGCAACGCCGCGUGAGUGAUGAAGGUCUUCGGAUCGUAAAACUCUGUUAUUAGGGAAGAACAAAUGUGUAAGUAACUAUGCACGUCUUGACGGUACCGAAUCAGAAAGCCACGGCUAACUACGU